UUGAUCUGCAGUGUAUGAAUGAAGCGGUGAGUGACACUUGACACACAAGUCAGGGCAACACAACCACCAGCAACACUGCUUGUCCUUAACGCCUUAACGGGAGCGCCGAUGGCAGACACUGAUGGUGUUCAAAAGGAACAGUUGAAUCAGAACCCGAGCGGAAACGAGUUUCAGAUUGUGCGGUUUAUGCCAUUCCCAAACUUCAAGCUUCCCGAUGAUUGGGUGGUUGAGACUAAACCCCGUCCCUCUAAACCAACUCACAUUGACAAGUAUUACUAUGAGCCAGGCACCGGAAAGAAGUUUCGCUCUUUGCUAGCUGUUCAGAGACAUCUAGCAGGAGAACCAAAACACUAUGUUACUCCAGAGAGAAUGAUAUCAGAAAAUGAAGACAAUUAUUACUAUGAGCCAAGCACUGGAAAGAAGUAUCGCUCUCUGCUAGCUGUUAAGAGACAUCUAACAGAAGAAACAAAACACUAUGUUACUCCUGAGAGAAUGAUCUCAGAAAAUAAAGACACUCCUACAAAAAUUGAUUCUCAGAGGAAAUUCAAUCUGAGGAAAGAAGACAGAGGAUCCUCCCACAACUUAAGUAGACCACCAGAAAAAGUAAGUUGGGUUCUGUCUGGUCCUGGGGGCUUCUGGAGCCCUUUCGUGGAUGGUACUAUUGUACCAGAAUCUGUAAAGUUGAAAUGGUCCGAAGCAUUUGUACAAUCCAUCCAUCAUGGAGUUAGUAGUGGAGGACUUAAUAGCUAAGGAUAUUCACAUUGGAGAUGACUGGACAUAAUGGUGAGCAAUGUGCUGGCAGAUGUAGCGUAGAUUGUAAAUCGGGUUAUCUACUUGACUAAUCUGUCAGCCAUAAGCAGAGAUUGUUCCAUUUCACUGAUUAUAAUGAUGUAGUUUCUAUCACCGUUUUUUGGGUUGCACCUGGUAAGGGGACAAGGACACUGGUGAAAGAUUUUGAUAUCUCACCACUCUCUAAUCCAGACUGGGAAUAGUGCCAAUUGAGCUAUAAGCCCGUUGGCAGUAGCAUUUUUGGCACCAAAGAGGUAGACACUAGAAUCUACUCUCAGAUCACUUGGCAUUUCACCUUCUUGGGGAGACUUUGAAGUCUGCGGGUUAGACCAAUUUUUUUUCCAAUAGAUUCAACACAUUUGGGAGAGAAGUCCUCAUCAAGAGACAUUU
RNA transcript from Lotus japonicus, 1179 nucleotides. It is a transcript of the gene named methyl-CpG-binding domain-containing protein 7-like, with no coding region annotated. The transcript is spliced from 6 exons. The record is from RefSeq and is a predicted model, not a curated record. Lineage: Eukaryota; Viridiplantae; Streptophyta; Magnoliopsida; Fabales; Fabaceae.